GGAGUGGCUCCCCAGCUCUGGGCACACACGGGGGCUGGAGAAACAGGCCCUGCUGUUCAUAAAGCAUUCAGCUCCCUCUGGGACAGAUCCCUGGAGAAUUAGGAAGGCUUUACAGUAAAAUCCAGCAUGAUCUCGACUGGGCUCUGGAGGCGAGGCCUGAGUAGAAGAAGAAGGUGGAGGAAGGGCAAAUUCACUCUCUGCCUGAGCUGAGACAUCUGUCUUCUCCUGCCCUGGGACAUUGGCACUCUCGGUUCUUGGGCUUUCCGACAGACUAGAAGUUAUACCAUCAGCCCUGAUUCUCAGACCUUCAGAUUUUGACUGAAAUCACCAUGAGCUUUCCUGGUUCUUCAGCUUGCAGAUUUCAGAUCAUGGGACUUCGUGGCCUCCAUAACCACUGAAUGUGUAUUACUUUUUUAAUGAGAAAAAGAAGCAUUAGCAACUUGGAAAAAUAUAUUUUACGAAGGACUGAAGUUGUACAUGGAUAUUAUCAACCCAAAAUGGUGGAAGACAACCAAAGGAGGCUAUGGAGGCCACCUGAGAAUCAGUGAAAACCAAUGCCUCCCAGGGGAAUCAACACAGACUAUUUCAAGGAAUCUGUCUGAGCGUGUCCAGGCCUAGUAGGAAAGGAAAGAGUUUCAACCAGGCAUUUGAGCCACUCACAUAUACCGCAGAGACAGGGGCUUCAAGACCCAAAGUAUGAAAGGCCAGGGAGGACAGCCUCUGAGGAUGAGGAUGCUAUUGUUAGAUGCAUGUGUGUGAAAAUGAAAGUGGUAAGAGCUGCAAGUCUUCCCUCCACCUCUUUAGGUUCAGGGCUGGCCCCACCAAUGCAUCACUGGGUGCUCACAUCUGCUUGAGUAUGCACAGUACGGUGAAACUGGAUAAAAUCUAUACUCUGUGCUAGGUGUAAUUUCAUUAGCUCUCCUUCCCUCUCAAGGCAAUUCCAGCUUGGUGUCUUGGUCAAAGUCACAGAGUUGGGAGACAGUAGAGUCAGGACUUGAAGGAAGCCUCCCAACAGCUAGUUCCACUCCUUUCCAUCACUGCGUGUGCCCUCUCUUUUAAGUCAUUUGAUUUACUGCAUAUGAAUUUUGUGCCUAAAAGCAAAUUAUGUAUUCUCAGAUGCAAAUUCUGUCUUAAAUAUAGAUAGAGUAGGAUUAGGUGGGGUAAUAAAAGCCCAGAAAGUCCAUUGACCCAAAAAUCUCUCUUUCAUGUGAGAAUCCAAAUGCCUGAAAAUUUACCUAAGGAAACAACUCAUUCCUUUGGGCUAAAACUCUGGGUUUCCUGGAGUUCUUUGUGUUAAGACCAUAUGGCAGAAUUACUGGACAAGUAAUAAGACUCCUGCGGUCUCAUCUGGGCCAUUACGUGCCGUUGAGCAGGUGGUGCAAACUCUUUGAGCCUCUGUUUCGUCAUCAGUAAGGACUCACGGAUAAUUCUUAGUCAUCAGACUUUAAGUGGAAAUUAGUUCAUCAGAUUUUUCCUGCAGCAUGACUGCUGCAGAAGGAAGCAGCUUUGGAGGUUUUUAUAGGGAAAGAUUACAAGGGGCGCUCUGGAGCAUGGCCGCUCUCCACUGGGUGCAGAUUCACGAGGGAGAUUGGAGAGGGCAGCCCUCGGUGCUGGGGGGUCCAGAAGAGAUGGGAGGGCCCCACAUGGAAAUUCAGAACAGACCAUGUCUGUGCUGCACUUGUCACCACGAGGACAGCAAGACUGUCUUCCUUGUCCUCCCCUUAACACCUAGCACAUAGUGUGCACUCAACAAAUGUCCGUUCCUCCUGCCCAGAGCAAUCCUCUCCACUAGAAAAUCUUAACUCUGGUAGACCUCCUCACAGCAAUUACCUUGGGCCUAACUACUGGGGUGGAGGAGCACAUGGAUCAAACCCAACCCUGAAGUUGAGGGGAUGUUGAUGGGUUCCCUCUCCUCUCUCUCUGAGGACACCCCUCAUCCCACCUGUUUGAACUGCUCUUUCUUCUUUAGUCCAGUACUUUCUUACUUUGUCCUUUUCUAGUCUGUUCCAUGAGGAGAGUCCACACUCACAAUCACACGUGGACUGAUUCAGGCUUACACAUCCCUUCUGUACCUGCUGGUAACACGGUCACUGGGCUUGGUUGGGCUCCCCUCCUGUGCUGGAACUAAAUUUGCCAGUAGCUUGAAGAGGAGCAGCCAGACCUGAGAUAAUGCAGAAGCUGGAUAAUUAGCCUCCAGGUAAUCAAGGAUUGCCUGUCUCAGCGGGACUCUCAUAUUCUGGAGUGAAGAAGGUUUUUACCCAGAGAAUCAGAACCUCCCAAGAAACACAUGAUUAUCAAUUAGUGAUUUAGGCCAAGGUGGGGCCUAUUUCCUUCCACUGGAGCUGAAUUUUUAUAUUAUAGAAAGUAUUCAAAAACUGCCUUUCUUAAAAAGUUUAGUUCCCUGUGUUCUAAGAUGGGGAAAAAUAAAAAACAAACAAAAAUCUCUCCCAUUUGUAAAAAGAGGUCCAGGUAUUGUUCCAUGUGACUAGAAAUGAGACUAACGGUGAGGGCUUUGUUCAUCAUGGUGCGGCAGCUGUUAUGCUCAUUUGUUAGUAUUUCUCCUCUCAUGGUGAUUUUCUGACAAUCUUGGUUAAAGAAAAAGUCCAGCUGUGUGAUCAGUUUUCUAAAACUUGAAAGUUCAGACUUGCUAUAUAUACAUUUUAAAAGUCUUCAAAUCAUUAGGUAAAAGUGUGCAUAUUGUAUUUUACAUUUUCUUAAGUGUU
Long non-coding RNA from Equus caballus (horse), 2723 nucleotides. The record is from Ensembl. Lineage: Eukaryota; Metazoa; Chordata; Mammalia; Perissodactyla; Equidae.